AGGCUUUUUGUAUUGACCCACACGUAAAUAGAGUCUAAAAGUUGCAAAACUAGCUAACAACUCUUAAAGAAUGCAGUAGGUAUUCAAUUUUGAAAUGUCUAACUAUAUGUAUAGAAAUUAUAGCAUGUCAAUCAUAUAAUUAAUUAUACAGUAUUACCUACAAAUAUGCUUUUCUUUUGGUUAUUGGUAUAUUGUUUAACGUAAAACAAAAUAACAGAGUAUACCCGUAAAACAUAACAACACCGUGCAUCUUUCAAGCCUAAAAAACAUUCAUUAACAUUUUUUACCAAAAAAAUCGGAGAAGUGUAAAGAAAUAUUCGCAAAUUUUUGCAAAGGAUGGAAAGCAAAGGAAAAAGUAAUCACAAUGUCAUCUAACCAUGUCAAUAGCAUUAUACCCAUUUGUUUUGUGACAUUGAAAAUUAAGUCAAAAAUAAAUAUUUAAGGUUGAACCAGCACCCACCCGGGCAUAUUUGUUCCUUAAAAGUGCCAUAUUAGAACAACAAUCAAAGAAAAUAUUAUUCUUUUGAGUCGUGUACAUCCGUCUUUAAUGUGCCUAUACAAGGAGAGUAUGUUAAAUAUCUGUAAGGACAUUCAGUCCUAAUAUCUACUACUCAAAACCAAGUCAAAUAUGGAACCGCAUCCGGUAAUGAUACGCUAUAGAGAAGUAACAUCGGUUAAUCAAGUAUCAAUUGUGAAUCGUCUCCAAAAUGUAGGUUAUGGAUCUUUGGCUAUACCGGAAAUUUACGUUGCCACUAAUUUUAAAUCGACUUUAUGGAAUAGAUAUUUUAUACACUUUUUGUGUGAAGCGGUCUCGAAAAUAUUUCGACACUAUUUAUCUUAUAACCAUAUAAGAGUAGGUAAGGAUCGUUAAUGUGUUUUAAAAUCUGAGUUGAGUACACGUAAAUAGCAUACACCUCAGAUCAGACAACCAAUAAAUGUGAAAUUUUAAA
Long non-coding RNA from Dendroctonus ponderosae (mountain pine beetle), 950 nucleotides. RefSeq lists it as uncharacterized. Lineage: Eukaryota; Metazoa; Arthropoda; Insecta; Coleoptera; Curculionidae. The transcript has 3 exons. The record is from RefSeq and is a predicted model, not a curated record.